AAACAUCACAUUUGACAGAAUAAUCUGAACACUAAAGGGUUAAAGAGAGAGAGAGAAGAGGGAAAAAAACAACAUGGAGACCAAAGUUAGACCAACUUGUUUUUUGUUAUAAAAAACAAAAUAUAGUAAAUCUAAAUAGACUAAAGUAUUGGACUAAACUGGAUUGCCUAUAUUCAAUCAGUGUAG
Molecule: long non-coding RNA, 186 nt
Organism: Octopus sinensis (East Asian common octopus)
Lineage: Eukaryota; Metazoa; Mollusca; Cephalopoda; Octopoda; Octopodidae
Exons: 3
Source: RefSeq, a predicted model, not a curated record